CGGGAUAGCUCAGCUGGUAGAGCAGGGAUGAA
Molecule: transfer RNA, 32 nt
Filed under: Trymalium ledifolium
Lineage: Eukaryota; Viridiplantae; Streptophyta; Magnoliopsida; Rosales; Rhamnaceae
Description: partial transfer RNA-Phe
Source: RNAcentral